This 71-nucleotide transfer RNA is filed under the name Ixodes scapularis (black-legged tick). It matches the Rfam family "tRNA". From Rfam's summary of the family: Transfer RNA (tRNA) molecules are approximately 80 nucleotides in length. Their secondary structure includes four short double-helical elements and three loops (D, anti-codon, and T loops). Further hydrogen bonds mediate the characteristic L-shaped molecular structure. tRNAs have two regions of fundamental functional importance: the anti-codon, which is responsible for specific mRNA codon recognition, and the 3' end, to which the tRNAs corresponding amino acid is attached (by aminoacyl-tRNA synthetases). tRNAs cope with the degeneracy of the genetic code in two manners: having more than one tRNA (with a specific anti-codon) for a particular amino acid; and 'wobble' base-pairing, i.e. permitting non-standard base-pairing at the 3rd anti-codon position. The record is from Rfam by way of RNAcentral. Lineage: Eukaryota; Metazoa; Arthropoda; Arachnida; Ixodida; Ixodidae.
UCUGGCGUGGUCUAGUGGCUAGGGUACCUGGCUUUUAACCAGAAGGCCUGGGUUUGUUCCGAACGUCGGAA